This 699-nucleotide ribosomal RNA is filed under the name uncultured bacterium. RNAcentral describes it as "bacterial SSU rRNA". It matches the Rfam family "Bacterial small subunit ribosomal RNA", at positions 8 to 743 of the family's 1533-position model. The record is from RNAcentral.
AGAGUUUGAUCCUGGCUCAGAACGAACGCUGGCGGCAGGCCUAACACAUGCAAGUCGAGGGGGAAGCCACUUUCGGGUGGUGGAGACCGGCGCACGGGUGAGUAACGCGUGGGAAUUUACCCUGGGGUGGGGAAUAACCGCUGGAAACGGCGGCUAAUACCGCAUACGCCUUUCGAGGGAAAGCUUUAGUGCCCUGGGAUGAGCCCGCGUUAGAUUAGGUAGUUGGUGGGGUAAAGGCCUACCAAGCCAUCGAUCUAUAGCUGGUCUGAGAGGAUGAUCAGCCACACUGGGACUGAGACACGGCCCAGACUCCUACGGGAGGCAGCAGUGGGGAAUAUUGGACAAUGGGGGCAACCCUGAUCCAGCCAUGCCGCGUGCGUGAAGAAGGCCUUAGGGUUGUAAAGCGCUUUCACUGGUGAAGAUGAUGACGGUAGCCAGAGAAGAAGCCCCGGCUAACUCCGUGCCAGCAGCCGCGGUAAUACGGAGGGGGCAAGCGUUGUUCGGAAUUACUGGGCGUAAAGGGCGCGUAGGCGGGAAGUCAAGUUAGGGGUGAAAGGCCUGGGCUCAACCUAGGAACUGCCUCUAAAACUGGCUUUCUAGAGUCCGGGAGAGGAUGGCGGAAUUCCCAGUGUAGAGGUGAAAUUCGUAGAUAUUGGGAAGAACACCAGUGGCGAAGGCGGCCAUCUGGACCGGCACUGA